Molecule: ribosomal RNA, 343 nt
Filed under: uncultured bacterium
Lineage: Bacteria
Description: bacterial SSU rRNA
Rfam family: Bacterial small subunit ribosomal RNA
Source: RNAcentral
GAUGAACGCUAGCGGCAGGCCUAACACAUGCAAGUCGAGGGGUAGUUACUUUCGGGUAAUGAGACCGGCGCACGGGUGCGUAACGCGUAUGCAAUCCACCUUUUACAGGGGAAUAGCCCAGAGAAAUUUGGAUUAAUGCCCCCAUAGUAUGUAUGAAUCGCAUGGUUUAUACAUUAAAGUUCCAACGGUAAAAGAUGAGCAUGCGUCCCAUUAGUUAGUUGGUAAGGUAACCGGCUUACCAAGACGAUGAUGGGUAGGGGUCCUGAGAGGGAGAUCCCCCACACUGGUACUGAGACACGGACCAGACUCCUACGGGAGGCAGCAGUGAGGAAUAUUGGACAAU